GAGUUGUGUGUUUAAAAUCAGCUCAAAAGACCUCUAUUUAUAGGGGUUAAAAGAGUUAUGGCCGUUGCUUAAUUGAUAGAAAAUUAUACUGAUUCUGUGCUCAGACAAUCGAUUGUCUAGUCUCUACAAUCGAUUGUGUGACCAAUUUUCACAAGACAGAUCCCUGAUUUUAAGGAAAAACUAACGUUUAAAAAUUAUUCCAGGAUUCAGUGCUUCAACAAUCGAUUGUCAAAUAAGUACAAUCGAUUGUGGUUCAAAGUUUCAAAAUCUAACGGUCUCAGUACAAUCGAUUGUGGAAUUCAACAAUCGAUUGUGGAAAGCAUACAAUCGAU
This 332-nucleotide long non-coding RNA is filed under the name Nicotiana benthamiana. Its description in RNAcentral is "long non-coding RNA (NBEN_LNC031142)". Lineage: Eukaryota; Viridiplantae; Streptophyta; Magnoliopsida; Solanales; Solanaceae. The record is from RNAcentral.